CUGGAACACCUCCUUUCUGGAGAGUAUGACUGUUCGACGACAGAUCGAUGCUCGUUCUUUCUCUCGAAUUACCGGUAAUUUUUGUUAUACGAGUGGGAUUCUCCCGCGGAUACAGUCCCGUAGCUCAGUUGGUUAGAGCACUACACUGAUAAUGUAGGGGUCUGCGGUUCAAGUCCGCACGGGACUACACCAACUUCGGGGGAUUAGCUCAGUUGGCUAGAGCACCUGCUUUGCAAGCAGGGGGUCAAGGGUUCGACUCCCUUAUUCUCCACGGAUAAAGUUCUUUGACAUGCUGGAACGUUAAUGGAUCAAAUGAUCCACGAAGUAAAAAUGUAGUAGAAUAACACAGAGCCGUACCCGUGGUGACACAGGGGGACAAGGUAGAUUAUAAAAGUACACGACGCUAACGAACGUGAACAAUCAAGGGCGCACGGUGGAUGCCU
Molecule: transfer RNA, 443 nt
Filed under: uncultured Bacteroidota bacterium
Lineage: Bacteria; Pseudomonadati; Bacteroidota
Description: uncultured Bacteroidetes bacterium partial contains 16S ribosomal RNA, 16S-23S ribosomal RNA intergenic spacer, and 23S ribosomal RNA
Rfam family: tRNA (bases 114-187)
Source: RNAcentral